GAUGAACGCUGGCGGCGUGCCUAACACAUGCAAGUCGAGCGAAGCGAUUUAGCGGAAGUUUUCGGAUGGAAGUUAAAUUGACUGAGCGGCGGACGGGUGAGUAACGCGUGGGUAACCUGCCUCAUACAGGGGGAUAACAGUUAGAAAUGACUGCUAAUACCGCAUAAGCGCACAGUAUCGCAUGAUACAGUGUGAAAAACUCCGGUGGUACAAGAUGGACCCGCGUCUGAUUAGCUAGUUGGUAAGGUAACGGCUUACCAAGGCGACGAUCAGUAGCCGACCUGAGAGGGUGACCGGCCACAUUGGGACUGAGACACGGCCCAA
Molecule: ribosomal RNA, 324 nt
Filed under: uncultured bacterium
Lineage: Bacteria
Description: bacterial SSU rRNA
Rfam family: Bacterial small subunit ribosomal RNA
Source: RNAcentral